RNAcentral lists this unclassified non-coding RNA (413 nucleotides) under fungal sp. RNAcentral's name for it is "partial internal transcribed spacer region". The stretch from base 1 to 46 matches the Rfam family "Eukaryotic small subunit ribosomal RNA", at positions 1786 to 1831 of the family's 1831-position model. The record is from RNAcentral. Lineage: Eukaryota; Fungi.
AAGUCGUAACAAGGUUUCCGUAGGUGAACCUGCGGAAGGAUCAUUAACACGUAUCCACGUAUCAACCAACUGUGAACUUGUUCUCAACUUCGCCCCUGCGCCGGAGAGGAUGAAUUGGCAAUCGAAUGGAGAGGAUGAAAUGGGCCUGAUGAGCUUCGGCGAACAGGCACUCACCUUCGAUCAUCUGGAAGCAAUUCCAAACAAUUGUACCGCUCGCGUCAGGCCAACCCUUUCUACUCAUAUAGCUUCCCCUUUCAUGAAGCUAAGAGUGGAAUAUCAACACACAUCAUUCACCCCCUUUUUGCUAGUUGACUUUUAUAUGUUGUCUGAUUCAUCUUAAUUGAUGAGCCAUUCACACGUUUAUUACUUGAACGUUAAAAUUACAACUCUUAGCAAUGGAUAUCUUGGUUCUC